This 253-nucleotide ribosomal RNA is filed under the name uncultured bacterium. RNAcentral's name for it is "partial 16S ribosomal RNA". It matches the Rfam family "Bacterial small subunit ribosomal RNA", at positions 524 to 776 of the family's 1533-position model. The record is from RNAcentral.
UACAGAGGGGGCAAGCGUUGUUCGGAAUUACUGGGCGUAAAGGGCGCGUAGGCGGCCUGUUAAGUCGAACGUGAAAUCCCUGGGCUCAACCCAGGAACUGCGUCCGAUACUGGCAGGCUUGAAUUCGGGAGAGGGAUGCGGAAUUCCAGGUGUAGCGGUGAAAUGCGUAGAUAUCUGGAGGAACACCGGUGGCGAAGGCGGAUCUCUGGGCCUUACCUGACGCUGAGGCGCGAAAGCUAGGGGAGCGAACAGG